RNAcentral lists this ribosomal RNA (257 nucleotides) under uncultured bacterium. RNAcentral describes it as "partial 16S ribosomal RNA". It matches the Rfam family "Bacterial small subunit ribosomal RNA", at positions 333 to 607 of the family's 1533-position model. The record is from RNAcentral.
UGAAGCCUACGGGAGGCAGCAGUGAGGGAUAUUACACAAUGGGGGGAACCCUGAUGCAGCGACGCCGCGUGGGCGAUGGAGUGCUUCGGCAUGUAAAGCCCUAUCAGCAGGGAAGAAAAUGACGGUACCUGACUAAGAAGCCCCGGCUAAAUACGUGCCAGCAGCCGCGGUAAUACGUAUGGGGCAAGCGUUAUCCGGAUUUACUGGGUGUAAAGGGAGCGCAGGCGGCACGGCAAGCCUGAUGUGAAAGCCCGCGG